This 427-nucleotide ribosomal RNA is filed under the name uncultured bacterium. RNAcentral's name for it is "partial 16S ribosomal RNA". It matches the Rfam family "Bacterial small subunit ribosomal RNA", at positions 355 to 774 of the family's 1533-position model. The record is from RNAcentral.
UGGGGAAUAUUGCACAAUGGGCGCAAGCCUGAUGCAGCCAUGCCGCGUGUAUGAAGAAGGCCUUCGGGUUGUAAAGUACUUUCAGCGGGGAGGAAGGCGAUAAGGUUAAUAACCUUGUCGAUUGACGUUACCCGCAGAAGAAGCACCGGCUAACUCCGUGCCAGCAGCCGCGGUAAUACGGAGGGUGCAAGCGUUAAUCGGAAUUACUGGGCGUAAAGCGCACGCAGGCGGUCUGUCAAGUCGGAUGUGAAAUCCCCGGGCUCAACCUGGGAACUGCAUUCGAAACUGGCAGGCUAGAGUCUUGUAGAGGGGGGUAGAAUUCCAGGUGUAGCGGUGAAAUGCGUAGAGAUCUGGAAGAAUACCGGUGGCGAAGGCGGCCCCCUGGACAAAGACUGACGCUCAGGUGCGAAAGCGUGGGGAGCAAACA